AAAAGCAGGGGAUCGCAAGACCUUGCGCUCUUGGAGCGGCCGAUGUCUGAUUAGCUAGUUGGUGAGGUAAAGGCUUACCAAGGCGACGAUCAGUAGCUGGUCUGAGAGGACGACCAGCCACACUGGGACUGAGACACGGCCCAGACUCCUACGGGAGGCAGCAGUGGGGAAUUUUGGACAAUGGGGGAAACCCUGAUCCAGCCAUGCCGCGUGAGUGAAGAAGGCCUUCGGGUUGUAAAGCUCUUUCAGCCGGAACGAAACGGUCACGGUUAAUACCCGUGACUACUGACGGUACCGGAAGAAGAAG
This 307-nucleotide ribosomal RNA is filed under the name uncultured beta proteobacterium E4_pH4/50/FL. Its description in RNAcentral is "bacterial SSU rRNA". It matches the Rfam family "Bacterial small subunit ribosomal RNA", at positions 202 to 490 of the family's 1533-position model. Lineage: Bacteria; Pseudomonadati; Pseudomonadota; Betaproteobacteria. The record is from RNAcentral. RNAcentral also lists the same sequence under 8 other names.